UCGUGCUGGAUGGGGAGGUAGCGGUGCCCUGUAACCUGCAACCCGCUUUAGCAGGAUCGAUCUCUAUAGAGAGGUAUUUGCUGAAAUUUCUUUUGAAUUCAAGUAGUGUUGAAGCUUCAAUCUAUCGCAAUAGGCUGACACUGAACUCCGUCAGGCCCGGAAGGGAGCAGCGGUAAGUUGAUACUUAUGUGCCGGUGGAUCAUUGGAGUGGAGCUAACUAAAUUGAAGAGAUGUUGUCCAGAGAUGUCAAUUUAUAGUGCACGA
This 264-nucleotide signal recognition particle RNA is filed under the name Fidelibacterota bacterium. RNAcentral describes it as "signal recognition particle sRNA large type". It matches the Rfam family "Bacterial large signal recognition particle RNA". Rfam says of the family: The signal recognition particle (SRP) is a universally conserved ribonucleoprotein involved in the co-translational targeting of proteins to membranes. Archaeal SRP consists of a 7S RNA and homologues of the eukaryotic SRP19 and SRP54 proteins. Lineage: Bacteria; Pseudomonadati; Fidelibacterota. The record is from RNAcentral.